This 85-nucleotide ribosomal RNA is filed under the name Caerostris darwini. The record is from RNAcentral. Lineage: Eukaryota; Metazoa; Arthropoda; Arachnida; Araneae; Araneidae.
CUUCUCGUUAGAUCACCGAAGUUAAGCAUUAUUGGGCGCGGUCAGUACUUGGGUGGGUGACCACCUGGGAACACUGCGUGCCGUU